RNAcentral lists this long non-coding RNA (209 nucleotides) under Elaeis guineensis (African oil palm). RNAcentral's name for it is "long non-coding RNA (EGUI_LNC014196)". Lineage: Eukaryota; Viridiplantae; Streptophyta; Magnoliopsida; Arecales; Arecaceae. The record is from RNAcentral.
CUUGUCCAGAGCAGCUCUUUGCUCUGUCAUAGGAUAGACUGAAAAAAUUGAGACAUCCUGAUCAAGUACAUAUCCAAUCUUUUCAUAUGUCAGGACUAUUCUUAGAUUUUUGAGCCAGUCCUUAAAAUUUAUGUAAAUCAGAUGGUUGGUUUCAAAUAUGCAGGCUAGAGGGUUAGAUAUCAAUAUUGUUUAUCUACGAGAGUAGAGAU